ACCUGCAAAAGCUGAGAGUCUUCCCUGCCCCCCACAGCUGCAAAUAGGGAGCUGUUGACUUUAUACAUGGUGAUGCUGCUAGAACGGGGGCAGGUCCCACCCUCCCAGGCUGCAACUGUGAGGGGAGGGAUAGGCGCUGGGGAUUGAGACAGGGCCUGGAAAGUGAAGGGGCCCAGCUGGCUUCUUGCAUCCUUUUUGCCCUCUGUAAGCUGGGCUCUCUGCCAGCCCUUCCCAGCACGCGAAGGAGACCCAGUCUUCCUCCUCAGUUGGACCUCUAGCUCUCCACAAAGCAGAGCUGGCUCCUGGAAGGAUGGUACCUCCAAGCUGACAGGAGCACCUUUUUGUUAGUGUAUAAUGUUCUCCCUCCAAUUCUCAUUAGAUGUGGCCUCCACUAAAGUAUUCUUGUGAUAUGAAAAGCGUAUUGAGAACUGAAAUGAUCUUGUGUGUUAGCCAGGUGAAAAGAGAAUGAAUAGCUCAAGACGUUGAGAUCUAGGAGUGUCACCUCCACUUUUAUAAAAAAAAAAAAAAAAAACUCCAGCAAACUGCAAGCUUACUACUUUUUUUGAAAGCUGAGGUCAAAGGGCAAUCAACUAGCCUGCAAUCUAAGGAUCGAUGGAGGCUUGUGGAGAAGCACGGUCCCUGCUUACCUGGGUGCAGCUGCAGCCAACAGAAGAAUUCACCUGGGGCCGGCUUUUCUUCACGGAGCCCAUCAGGCACUCACAGAAGAGACUGGCCGAAAGCCUGAGAAAGAAUCCCUCCGCGGUGCAGGCGAAAGGGCCAAACACUGUUUCCCUUUGAGCACUGGCAAAACAGAGGGAAGGAAACGGAAAAGCAAGGCCAAAACCCUCCACCCUGAGGAACCGGCAAGAAUUCAGACAACUAAAGCGAAGACUUUGUUGCCAGCAGGUAUACUCUACAAGAAAUGCUAAAGAAGUUCUUGAGGCAGGAGGAAUGUGAUGCAAGAUAGAAACACGUGUCCAAACAAGGGUGUGAAGAGCCCUGGAAGUUGAAUAAACGAGGGAAAAAUACAUUUAAAAUUUUAAAUUGUUGUAAAGGAUAAAGGAGUGUCAAGAGUGAAAUCAGCAGCAGUGUGUUAUGCGUGUGGAGGAUACAUAAAAGCAAAGUGGAUAAUGGCACAAAUGUUGGGAAGAAGCAACUGGCAGUAUACUAUUGCAAGGUCCUUACAUUAUGCAUGUUAAAAAAUAAAAUUCAACUGAGUAGAUUUUAGAGAUCUUAUUGGCUUUAUUCAACGACUCAUGCAUCGGGCAGCAUCCAAUCUAACGGGAAGGAGCUCCGAGGAGGUGUACAAGAGGAAAGACAUUUUAGGCAGGAAGGAGCAGGAACAAAGAAGUUAUAGGCAAAAAAGUAGCUUGGUCGUGGCAAAGUCACUUUCCUUUAGGGGACGGCAGGGGUCUGUCAGGCAGCUGACCUCCCCAGUGCUGAGCAGACGAUUCCUGAUUGGCUGGUUUAAGAUUCCGUUUCCGGGAGAACCAAAACCGUAAUUAAGUUAAGUCUGGGUUUGGUGAUGUG
RNAcentral lists this long non-coding RNA (1530 nucleotides) under Equus caballus (horse). RNAcentral's name for it is "lncRNA (ENSECAG00000053563.1)". Lineage: Eukaryota; Metazoa; Chordata; Mammalia; Perissodactyla; Equidae. The record is from RNAcentral.